UACGUAGGGGGCAAGCGUUGUCCGGAUUUAUUGGGCGUAAAGAGCUCGUAGGCGGUCUGUCGCGUCUGCUGUGAAAAUCCAGGGCUCAACCCUGGACCUGCAGUGGGUACGGGCAGACUAGAGUGCGGUAGGGGAGAUCGGAAUUCCUGGUGUAGCGGUGAAAUGCGCAGAUAUCAGGAGGAACACCGGUGGCGAAGGCGGAUCUCUGGGCCGUAACUGACGCUGAGGAGCGAAAGCAUGGGGAGCGAACAGG
RNAcentral lists this ribosomal RNA (253 nucleotides) under uncultured bacterium. RNAcentral describes it as "partial 16S ribosomal RNA". It matches the Rfam family "Bacterial small subunit ribosomal RNA", at positions 524 to 776 of the family's 1533-position model. The record is from RNAcentral.